CCUACGGGAGGCAGCAGUGAGGAAUAUUGGUCAAUGGACGAGAGUCUGAACCAGCCAAGUAGCGUGAAGGAUGACUGCCCUACGGGUUGUAAACCUCUUUUAUAUGGGAAUAAAAUGUUCCACGUGUGGGAUUUUGUAUGUACCAUAUGAAUAAGGAUCGGCUAACUCCGUGCCAGCAGCCGCGGUAAUACGGAGGAUCCGAGCGUUAUCCGGAUUUAUUGGGUUUAAAGGGAGCGUAGGUGGGUUGUUAAGUCAGUUGUGAAAGUUUGGGGCUCAACCGCAACAUUGCAGUUGAAACUGGCAGUCUUGAGUACAGUAGAGGUAGGCGGAAUGCGUGGUGUAGCGGUGAAAUGCUUAGAGAUCACGAAGAACUCCGAUUGCGAAGGCAGUUCACUGGACUGCAACUGACGCUGAGGCUCGAAAGUGUGGGUAUCAAACAGGAUUAGAUACCCGGGUAGUC
RNAcentral lists this ribosomal RNA (460 nucleotides) under uncultured bacterium. RNAcentral's name for it is "partial 16S ribosomal RNA". It matches the Rfam family "Bacterial small subunit ribosomal RNA", at positions 338 to 795 of the family's 1533-position model. The record is from RNAcentral.